AGUACUCGACAGUUUUAAAUAACCGCUAAGCGAAGCUCUGCUCUCUCUCUAUUUCUAUGUCAAAACUAGGCGAAGUAUUUACGAAAACCGAGACACAUCAGCGAGACGUUCCGUCGGCAGAAAAAGAUGACCUCAUCGGCGUGAUACAGUGCUUCUCUUUUCCUUUUCUGCUCUCUUUCUCUUUCUCUCGUGAUAAUGCCUGCGACAAUAAUCGCCCUGGCAGUGUCUACGCUGUACAUCGUGUUCACGGUAUGGCUAGCGCACUGGCUGAGGCUGUACGCGACAUACUUCAUUGAACAGCCCCUCGUGAAAUCCUUGUUCUUAGAGGCGAUCGCUACGGCGGAACUCUGCGGAGCAUGCUUCGAACUCAUUAUAAUUGCGGACAAUUGGGGAGUAUCAAUGUAUGCGAUUUAUCUGUUUGUGCUGACGGUUUACUGGUCGAUGACCUGGGGCGACGCGUCGGCGUGUCCCUACACUCACCUGGAGGACAUGGUCCUAGGCAACAAGUCUGUGCGCAUCGCCUUCCUUUUGAUAUGGGCCGAAUUUCUCGGCGGUAUCGCCGUGUUUAAGUACAUUCAAGUGCUCUGGGCGCUCGAGAUCGUCUCCACGCACAAAAACCGGGCGUUCGGAGACUGUACUACAGAUUUGCAGGUACCUGUUCUAAUUGGAGCGCUCAUAGAGUGCGUCGCUACGUGCAUAUGUAGGGUGGUGUCACGCGUCUUGGGUGACCUAAAUCCAAGAUUCAGCACGGUCAUCGACUCUUUCGUGGGGACGUCUCUGGUUGUUGCAGCCUUCAAUUAUUCCGGCGGUUACUUCAAUCCCGCACUGGCGACUUCGUUGAAAUGCGGUUGCUUGGGCACCACAUUCAUCGAGCACGUGACAGUAUAUUGGAUCGGGGCGUGUGUUGGAUCUAUCGCCUCCUUACGCGUGUACAAGAUGCCGUUCGUGCAAAAUUUCGUUGAGCAGCGCAAAGAGAAGAUCGCCUAAGAUGACACAAUGACGGAAAGGCAUUGGGUGUUUACGCACAAUCUUGUUGAACGAUUUUAUUCUUCAAUUACUUGGAUAUUUAUAUAUCAUUGUUUAUAUAUUUUUCAAUCUUAUGUCGUUUCAAUUUUAUUUAUUUUAUUUUAUUAUGUCAUUCCGGCUCGAGGAAUGUAUUAUCGUAAUGUACUAAUCUUUUUAUUUUUUUUUCUUUUCUAAGAAACAGUUACACGAUAACGCAAUUGUAUUUUAGCGAAACAUUAUGAUACAAGCGUUAUUCUAUAGAUGUAGAAGAUAUUUCUUGUCGCCGUGCAUUUUGAUGCAUGUGAGCGAGUGGUCCUCGAAAAUUGGUCAGAGGGUAACGAAAACUGUAUGACGACUUAUCACUGGAAUAACGGAGAAUAACGGUGACACUUUGAUCGACAAUCAAUUAGAAGAUUGUUUCUUAAAUAUGCCCGAAGAUUGGAGGUUGGAUUGAGCCGCA
RNAcentral lists this unclassified non-coding RNA (1465 nucleotides) under Harpegnathos saltator (Jerdon's jumping ant). Its description in RNAcentral is "aquaporin-11, transcript variant X1". Lineage: Eukaryota; Metazoa; Arthropoda; Insecta; Hymenoptera; Formicidae. The record is from RNAcentral.